GCCAAACCCGCCCCCCAAUCGCUGGGACUAGAGCAGGAACCCAUCCCCACCCCCAGUUCUAGGAGGGGGCGCUGGCGGGCGCGGCUCCGGGGCAGCUGCUCCGAGAGCGCCGGGGCGAGCCGGGCGAGCGGGUCCCGGGCGGGGGGCAGGUGCGGGGAGGGGCAGGGCGCGCGGCGCGAGCGCGGCCAGGUGAGGGCGGCGGGGCCCGGCGGGGCGGGGAGGGGGGGGGGCGGGGCGGGGCGGGGGGGGCCGCGUCGGCCCCGCGCCUGCACACACUCACCGGCGCCGGCGGGCUCGCCUCUCGCCGCCGCUGCUCUCGCGGCCGCCAGCCGCUCUUCCCCCUCCUCCCCCUCCUCCUCCUCCCCCUCCUCCCCUCCUCCUCCUCCCGCGCCGCGGCCGUCGCCGUCGCCCGGGCCGGGCGCGCUCCCCUUCCGCUUCCGGGAGCCGGAGCGCCGGGGCCGGCGGGGUGGGGGUGCGCCCGCCCGCCCUCCCGCACGCCGCCGCCGCCGCCGCCGCCUCUCCGCUCCCGGGGGCCGCGAUGGGAGCCGCCGAGGGCCGAAAGAGCCGAAAUCGCGCCGCGGGCAGGAGGAGAGGCGCCCGGGCCCAGCCGCGUGCGGCGCGGCCCCGCCGUCCCCGGAGCGCUCGCACCUGACGCCCCUCGGCGCCUCCGCCCUCCGCGCCGCACCUUCCCGGUCGUGCCCCGGUCGUGCCCCGGCUGUGCCCCGGCCGUGCCCCGCUGCCCUCCUCCCCGCCCCCACCCCCACCCCCACCUGGGGAGGGCGGAGGCGCCUCCCCGUCAGGCUCGGGCCCCUGCUCCCCCAGGGCGUCCUGGAUGCCCCGGCGCCUUGCCUCAGAGCGGCCCGCAGCAGCGGCGUCCUCCGCGCGCUGGGUACAGGGCGCUGGAUUCCAGUGCGUGGUCGUGCCCAUUUCAGACCCUCGGAGGAGCAAGAGCCAGAGUUGGCGCAGCCACCUAGGGAGUUGCCUAUUCCUGUGGGCAACCUCAGCCCGCACUCGGACAAGCUUUACUAG
Molecule: long non-coding RNA, 1029 nt
Filed under: Canis lupus familiaris (dog)
Lineage: Eukaryota; Metazoa; Chordata; Mammalia; Carnivora; Canidae
Description: lncRNA (ENSCAFG00030010656.1)
Source: RNAcentral